RNAcentral lists this ribosomal RNA (253 nucleotides) under uncultured bacterium. Its description in RNAcentral is "partial 16S ribosomal RNA". It matches the Rfam family "Bacterial small subunit ribosomal RNA", at positions 524 to 776 of the family's 1533-position model. The record is from RNAcentral.
GACAGAGGCCCCAAGCGUUAGGCGGAAUCACUGGGCUUAAAGCGUGUGUAGGCGGACGCCUAAGUGUCUUGUGAAAUCCCACGGCUCACCCGUGGAACUGCUGGGCAUACUGGGCGUCUUGGGCCAACUAGGGGCAGCCGGAGCAAGCGGUGGAGCGGUGAAAUGCGUAGAUAUCGCUUGGAACGCCGAAGGUGAAAACAGGCUGCUGGGGUUGCGCCGACGCUGAGACACGAAAGCCAGGGGAGCAAACGGG